UCGAGAAUUUUUCACAAUGGGCGAAAGCCUGAUGGAGCGACGCCGCGUGGGGGAUGAAUGGCUUCGGCCCGUAAACCCCUGUCAUUCGCGAGCAAACGUUAUUAUUUAAAAGAUGAUAGCCUGAUAGUAGCGAAAGAGGAAGGGACGGCUAACUCUGUGCCAGCAGCCGCGGUAAUACAGAGGUCCCAAGCGUUGUUCGGAUUUACUGGGCGUAAAGGGUGCGUAGGUGGUGGGGUAAGUCGGAUGUGAAAUCUCCGAGCUCAACUCGGAAAGUGCAUUGGAAACUACCCUGCUCGAGGGUUGAGGGGGGACUGGAAUACUUGGUGUAGCAGUGAAAUGCGUAGAUAUCAAGUGGAACACCAGUGGCGAAGGCGAGUCCCUGGACAACUCCUGACACUG
RNAcentral lists this ribosomal RNA (399 nucleotides) under uncultured bacterium. RNAcentral's name for it is "bacterial SSU rRNA". It matches the Rfam family "Bacterial small subunit ribosomal RNA", at positions 355 to 748 of the family's 1533-position model. The record is from RNAcentral.